Non-coding RNA from Paramarasmius palmivorus, 93 nucleotides. The record is from the annotation of a GenBank genome assembly. Lineage: Eukaryota; Fungi; Basidiomycota; Agaricomycetes; Agaricales; Marasmiaceae.
GGUUCGAUGGCGUAGUUGGUUAUCGCAUCUGUCUAACAUGGCCUCCAGUAGUUGUUGCACAGAAGGUCCCCAGUUCGAGCCUGGGUCGAAUCA